AACAACAUUAACGAAAACACAACGACAUUAAGAAAACGGAAAAGGUAGGUCCCAGUGGAGACCUAAGAAAUCGCUGAUUGGACUACAGCUCGUUAGAAAACGGAAAAGGUAGGUCCCAGUGGAGACCUAAGGAAUCGCUGAUUGGACUACAGCUCGUUAGAAAACGGAAAAGGUAGGUCCCAGCGGAGACCUAAGGAAUCGCUGAUUGGACUACAGCUCGUUAGAAAACGGAAAAGGUAGGUCCCAGCGGAGACGUAAGAAAUCGCUGAUUGGCUCGUUUUACUUCUGAACCGGAAGUUUUUCUGGAGACCCUUUUCACAGUGAUGUCAGACAAUGGGCGCCGUAACUCGAAGAGGUGUAUCUUUACUUCUGGUGUGAUUUUGCCUCGGGAAACCUGACUGAAAAAUUCACGGAUACUCAUUAUCUUAAGGAUAUACUAAACGGUAAGGUUAAUUACAACAGCAUUUAAGUGUUAGCCAUUAUUACUCAUUGUUAAUCCACCAUUCUCUAACUGUGUAUAUAAUAAACAGCCUCCGAUUGGAGAGUAAACCAGCUAGCAGCAGCUUUAGCCACAGUUGGGAA
This is a long non-coding RNA of Poecilia latipinna (sailfin molly), 582 nucleotides long. RefSeq lists it as uncharacterized. The record is from RefSeq and is a predicted model, not a curated record. The transcript is spliced from 2 exons. Lineage: Eukaryota; Metazoa; Chordata; Actinopteri; Cyprinodontiformes; Poeciliidae.